This 469-nucleotide ribosomal RNA is filed under the name Escherichia coli. Its description in RNAcentral is "bacterial SSU rRNA". It matches the Rfam family "Bacterial small subunit ribosomal RNA", at positions 893 to 1362 of the family's 1533-position model. The record is from RNAcentral. Lineage: Bacteria; Pseudomonadati; Pseudomonadota; Gammaproteobacteria; Enterobacterales; Enterobacteriaceae.
GUUAAAACUCAAAUGAAUUGACGGGGGCCCGCACAAGCGGUGGAGCAUGUGGUUUAAUUCGAUGCAACGCGAAGAACCUUACCUGGUCUUGACAUCCACAGAACUUUCCAGAGAUGGAUUGGUGCCUUCGGGAACUGUGAGACAGGUGCUGCAUGGCUGUCGUCAGCUCGUGUUGUGAAAUGUUGGGUUAAGUCCCGCAACGAGCGCAACCCUUAUCCUUUGUUGCCAGCGGUCCGGCCGGGAACUCAAAGGAGACUGCCAGUGAUAAACUGGAGGAAGGUGGGGAUGACGUCAAGUCAUCAUGGCCCUUACGACCAGGGCUACACACGUGCUACAAUGGCGCAUACAAAGAGAAGCGACCUCGCGAGAGCAAGCGGACCUCAUAAAGUGCGUCGUAGUCCGGAUUGGAGUCUGCAACUCGACUCCAUGAAGUCGGAAUCGCUAGUAAUCGUGGAUCAGAAUGCCACGG